Molecule: ribosomal RNA, 303 nt
Filed under: Triticum aestivum (bread wheat)
Lineage: Eukaryota; Viridiplantae; Streptophyta; Magnoliopsida; Poales; Poaceae
Description: partial small subunit ribosomal RNA
Source: RNAcentral
CUCCCGAUGUAAUUCUGGUCCUUGGAGGGGGCGGAGGAGGCGCUGGGGAAGAUGUGCUGCGUUGACCGCCUCGACAGCAGGACGCGCGAGCGCGACCACACCAAGCUCUUUGCCUGCUGGGUUUGGGUGUGGGAUGUGGCGCACAUCCCAACAACCCACACCCUGUGGGUGAUGAAGCGCGGCGCUGGCCGCAUCAAGGAGCUGCUGGGCUACUCCCCCCCCCUCCCUGAGCGCAAGGUGGCGCCGCCGCCCGGCACGCGGCGGUACGACCUCCUCAUCCAUGUCGACAGGGUGGAGGACUGG